Molecule: non-coding RNA, 534 nt
Organism: Mus caroli (Ryukyu mouse)
Lineage: Eukaryota; Metazoa; Chordata; Mammalia; Rodentia; Muridae
Source: RefSeq, a predicted model, not a curated record
ACCAAUCUUUCUGGGUAAGGAAAGAAAAUUAAUUUCCUUGGACGUACAAGUCAGCCAGCUUCCUUAUUUGGCUCUGCAGUUGGCCUGCAAGCACAGUUUGGAAAGUCCUUUUCGAAGGGGAAGGUACUGGGUGGUCUUGAAUUCAUUUUGGAUAUUACAACUUUUUACAAAGGACCUGGAUGGCUGAAACCAGAGGAUCACUUUGAAUUCCAGGCCAGCUUGUAUGAUGACAUGCAACUAUAUCUCAUGAGAACAAACAAACAAAAAUUUAAAGAUAUGUAUUGUGGACAUUCUUGGUUUCUGGGGGCUACAUAACAAAGUGGCCCCAGGAGUCUUUGAAAUUCAAAACAUUAUCAGCUCCUAGUUUUGGAGGCCAGAAGUCCGAAAUCCAGAUAUUCAUCUUGAAUGCUCCAGAUGAGAAGUCUUUCUGGUCUUGUCCAGCUGCUGGUCAUAUCCAGGACUCUUUAUAUCCCUUGGUUUACAGAUGUGUCUGUCCAGUUUCUGCAUCUGAUGUAACAUGUUAAUCUUCCUGUG